UACGUAGGGUGCAAGCGUUAAUCGGAAUUACUGGGCGUAAAGCGUGCGCAGGCGGUGCUGUAAGACAGGCGUGAAAUCCCCGGGCUUAACCUGGGAAUGGCGCUUGUGACUGCAGUGCUGGAGUGCGGCAGAGGGGGAUGGAAUUCCGCGUGUAGCAGUGAAAUGCGUAGAUAUGCGGAGGAACACCGAUGGCGAAGGCAAUCCCCUGGACCUGUACUGACGCUCAUGCACGAAAGCGUGGGGAGCAAACAGG
This 253-nucleotide ribosomal RNA is filed under the name uncultured bacterium. Its description in RNAcentral is "partial 16S ribosomal RNA". It matches the Rfam family "Bacterial small subunit ribosomal RNA", at positions 524 to 776 of the family's 1533-position model. The record is from RNAcentral.